CGUCUAGGCGGGGAGUUAAGUUAGGUGUGAAAUCUAUGGGCUCAACUCAUAAACUGCAUCUAAAACUGAUUCUCUUGAGUUCGGGAGAGGGAAGCGGAAUUCCCGGUGUAACGGUGAAAUGUGUAGAUAUCGGGAGGAACACCAGUGGCGAAGGCGGCUUUCUGGCCUAGAACUGACGCUGAAGCGCGAAAGCGCGGGUAGCGAACG
Molecule: ribosomal RNA, 207 nt
Filed under: uncultured bacterium
Lineage: Bacteria
Description: partial 16S ribosomal RNA
Rfam family: Bacterial small subunit ribosomal RNA
Source: RNAcentral